This 292-nucleotide small RNA is filed under the name Absidia glauca. RNAcentral describes it as "5' ureB small RNA". It matches the Rfam family "5' ureB small RNA". Lineage: Eukaryota; Fungi; Mucoromycota; Mucoromycetes; Mucorales; Cunninghamellaceae. The record is from Rfam by way of RNAcentral.
CAGCGCAGAUUUGAGGACAAAUGUAAUGCACAUGAGAGUCGAUCGCACCGGCGGUAAAUAUUUUCCCUUCACCAGCAUAAGCUUCCGUACUUGCACCCACGACCAUGUUGGGCGUGACACCGUCCAUGACAUCAGGGUUACCGGCUUUUCCAAUACCGACAAUGAUACCAUGUUUGAUGCCAAUAUCCGCCUUGUAAAUACCAGUAUAAUCAAAGAUCAUGGCGUUGGUGAUGACCAGAUCAAGUACGUCGUCGUCACAUGCGUAGGUUGCUUGGCCCAUCCCUUCUCGUAA